This is a long non-coding RNA of Puntigrus tetrazona (Sumatra barb), 303 nucleotides long. RefSeq lists it as uncharacterized. Lineage: Eukaryota; Metazoa; Chordata; Actinopteri; Cypriniformes; Cyprinidae. The record is from RefSeq and is a predicted model, not a curated record. The transcript has 2 exons.
CGGUGUUUGUUCCUCUAAACGUAAAGCGUGAGAUAAACAACGUGCUGAAAGAUGAAACCGAGGACCUGCUGUGAUUGAUGGAGGUUCAUGAGCAUCAGAUGGUCAUUUAGCAGAUGCUUUUAUCCAAAGCCACUUAGAAAUGCAAUUAAACCAACCAAAGAGCAAUGAUGUGCAAGUGCUGUUCUCAGGAGAGCAAGUUUUUCUGAGCACAGGUUUAGUUAUCAUAACCUUAUACACCAACAAACAAUGAACAAUGCAUUUGUUGCAGUAUUUUUGAAUCUUAAUAAAAUUUAUUAAACACUC